RNAcentral lists this ribosomal RNA (253 nucleotides) under uncultured bacterium. RNAcentral's name for it is "partial 16S ribosomal RNA". It matches the Rfam family "Bacterial small subunit ribosomal RNA", at positions 524 to 776 of the family's 1533-position model. The record is from RNAcentral.
UACGUAGGGGGCGAGCGUUACCCGGAUUUACUGGGCGUAAAGAGCUCGUAGGCGGUCUGUCGCGUCGGAUGUGAAAAUCCAGGGCUCAACCCUGGACCUGCAUUCGAUACGGGCAGACUAGAGUUCGGCAGGGGAGACUGGAAUUCCUGGUGUAGCGGUGAAAUGCGCAGAUAUCAGGAGGAACACCGGUGGCGAAGGCGGCGCUCUGGACCGAGACUGACGCUGAGGCGCGAAAGCGUGGGGAGCAAACAGG